AUCACUGUGCCUCUGAUUUUCUGUGGGCUUUGGGGGGGAUCGCUGUGUUUCGAUUUCUGUGGGCGAUGGGGAGAUCAUUGUGCCUCUGAUUUUCUGUGGUGUUGGGGAUCACUGUGCCUCUGAAAUUCUUUGGGGUAAAGGGGGGGCUGUGCCUUUGAAUCAGUGGCAUGAGUGGGGUGUCACUGUGCCUCUUCUGUGGGUUGAGGGUGUGUUAUUGUGUUAUUAGCGGGGGGGAGGGGAGUCACUGUAUAUUUGAAAGUCGAUGGGGUGGGAGUAGGGUUGCCAGCUGGCCUGUAUUUCCUGGCCUGGCUGGUAAAAAUGUUGCAUGAUUGCAAUGUUAAGUAUAGGGAAAAACCAUAAAAACAUAGGAAGGCCGGUAUUUGUUUUUUUUCUAGAAAAGGUGGCAACCCUAGGUGGGAGGUCACUGUGCCAGUCUUGGAUAUCAGAAAUCCCUCAUCCUCCUGUAGUGGGAUAUGGCUUCUUAUCCCUUUUUAUUAUAACUUAAAGGAGAAUUCAACCCCCCUUGAUGUUAACUGCCCUUCUGCCCCCCCCCCACACACACACAGUCUUACCUCUGAAUCCUUCUCCCUCCAGAAAUAGCGACUGGAAAAGCAGUGUGAGUGUAGCGGAGCUUCCAGCCACCAUCUUGUUUUCUUCUUUCUCCUCCUCAGCACAUCCCGUCUCUUUUCGGCGCAUGCGUAUUUUUCAAACCCAGAAAUUCACUACAACUGCGCAUGUACCAAAAAUCCACUCGAUUCAUGAGAUUUAGAAGAUGGUGGCUGGGAGCACUCACUCUGCUUUUCCGGUCGCUAUUUCUUGAGCGAGAAGGAUUCAGGGCUGCUGUUGGAUUCCUCACAUCCUGACUCCUUUUGUCGCCAUCAUUUUGUGCAGUUUUCUAUUGUUUUGCCAGGAAUGGAAGUGGUACUCUAAAGAAAAUCUUUGGUUUUAUUUAUUGUGUCUUAGAUUUGUUGUAUGAUCCUGCUUCAUGUUUUCAUUUAUGUUUUAAUAAAAUUAUAAAUAAAAUUA
Long non-coding RNA from Xenopus laevis (African clawed frog), 1026 nucleotides. RefSeq lists it as uncharacterized. The transcript is spliced from 2 exons. Lineage: Eukaryota; Metazoa; Chordata; Amphibia; Anura; Pipidae. The record is from RefSeq and is a predicted model, not a curated record.